CUACGGGUCGCAGCAGUGGGGAAUCUUAGACAAUGGGCGCAAGCCUGAUCUAGCCAUGCCGCGUGAGUGACGAAGGCCUUAGGGUCGUAAAGCUCUUUCGCUGGGGAAGAUAAUGACGGUACCCAGUAAAGAAACCCCGGCUAACUCCGUGCCAGCAGGCCGCGGUAAUACGGAGGGGGUUAGCGUUGUUCGGAAUUACUGGGCGUAAAGCGCGCGUAGGCGGAUCAGAAAGUUGGGGGUGAAAUCCCGGGGCUCAACCCCGGAACUGCCUUCAAAACUCCUGGUCUUGAGUUCGAGAGAGGUGAGUGGAAUUCCGAGUGUAGAGGUGAAAUUCGUAGAUAUUCGGAGGAACACCAGUGGCGAAGGCGGCUCACUGGCUCGAUACUGACGCUGAGGUGCGAAAGCGUGGGGAGCAAACAGGAUUAGAUACCCCUGUAGUC
This 440-nucleotide ribosomal RNA is filed under the name uncultured bacterium. Its description in RNAcentral is "partial 16S ribosomal RNA". It matches the Rfam family "Bacterial small subunit ribosomal RNA", at positions 339 to 795 of the family's 1533-position model. The record is from RNAcentral.